RNAcentral lists this long non-coding RNA (561 nucleotides) under Callithrix jacchus (white-tufted-ear marmoset). RNAcentral describes it as "lncRNA (ENSCJAG00000062578.2)". The record is from RNAcentral. Lineage: Eukaryota; Metazoa; Chordata; Mammalia; Primates; Cebidae.
CUCUUUCCUUCAUUCAUAACACUGAGAAAAUGGGUACCUUUUUCGUGCAUUAGUUUUGAGAACUAGAUGGAUAUGAGCGUGCCUGUCAGCUCAACGCUGGGUGCAGGGUGAGUGUGCUAAGCAAGGUGGUUUCCAUGGCUAUAGAAAUGCAUGCUAACUCCUACCUGGUCGGUCCCAGGUGGUCAGAGGUGACGGCAUCCGGAGGGGUCCCACCUCCAUUGUCUUAAUCUGGGGACUUUCUGUGACACAGUGCUGAGCAAAGCCUCCUCACUGCGAGUGGAUGAAGACCUUUAGGAUGACCCACUUCCUCUUCAUCAAUAGAGUGGCUCCUUGGUCCCCACCCUGUCCCUCCUGCUGGAGAUGCUGCAUACAAGGGCAUGAUGUCUGGAGUUCGAGCAUCCAUGUUGCCACCAUGAGGCAAGAAGUAUGAGGACACAAUUUCACUGGGCGGAAGAAUGACAAAGUCUGGAUUCUUGAUAUACUGUUGUCGUCUGAAGUUGCCUGGGACCGUAUAUUUCUGGUUAUCUGGUUACAUGAGCAAUACAUAUUCUUCUGGUUAAG